RNAcentral lists this ribosomal RNA (909 nucleotides) under Triticum aestivum (bread wheat). RNAcentral describes it as "partial small subunit ribosomal RNA". The record is from RNAcentral. Lineage: Eukaryota; Viridiplantae; Streptophyta; Magnoliopsida; Poales; Poaceae.
AUGGCGAGCGAGCUGUUGCCGGCGGUGCUGUUGAUCUCCGUGGCGUCAUUGGCCGGACUGGCCGCCGGAGCGCGCGCAAGCGGCGUCGCGAUCUACUGGGGCCAGAACGGCAACGAAGGCACGCUGGCGCAGACGUGCGCGAGCGGCAACUACAAGUUCGUCAACGUGGCCUUCCUGUACACCUUCGGCAAGGGACAGACGCCGCUGCUGAACCUGGCGGGCCACUGCGACCCGGCGUCCGACGGCUGUACGGGCGUGGGCGCCGACGUCAGGUCCUGCCAGCGCCUCGGCAUCAAGGUCAUGCUCUCCAUCGGCGGCGGCGGCGGCAGCUACGGCCUCUCGUCCCGCGCGGACGCCAGGCUUGUCGCGAGGUACCUCUGGGAGAACUACCUCGGCGGCACGUCGGCGUCGAGGCCCCUCGGCGACGCGGUGCUCGACGGCGUCGACUUCGACAUCGAGAGCGGCGGGAGCGCGCACUGGGACGAGCUGCUGAAGAAGUACUCGGGGAAGGGACGCGAGCGCAAGAGGGUGUACCUGGCGGCGGCCCCGCAGUGCCCGUUCCCGGACGCGUCGCUCGGCGGGCUCGGCGGCGCGCUCGGCACGGGCCUGUUAGACUACGUGUGGGUGCAGUUCUAUAACAACCCGCCGUGCCAGUACACCACGGACGGUGGGGUGCGCAACCUGGCGCGCACGUGGGAGCAGUGGACGGCCAUACCGGCGAGGCAGGUGUUCCUCGGGCUCCCGGCGGCGCCCGAGGCCGCCGGCAGCGGGUUCGUGGAGGCGACAGACCUGGUGUCCAAGGUACUGCCGGUGGUGAAGAAGUCGAAGAAGUUCGGUGGGAUCAUGUUGUGGUCGAGGUUCUACGAUGGGAAGACCGGGUACAGCGACAAGGUCAAGACCAGCCUGUGA